This is a non-coding RNA of Macaca mulatta (Rhesus monkey), 909 nucleotides long. Lineage: Eukaryota; Metazoa; Chordata; Mammalia; Primates; Cercopithecidae. The record is from RefSeq and is a predicted model, not a curated record.
AGGUCACGACUAUUUAGUCACUGGUUGGUCUGCCAGAUGACAGCCGAUUCAUGUGCAAGCCCAGCAGAGGUCAGCCAAGCUGACUCAAACCAGAGGAACAAGCUGAUCACAGAAUCAGGAGCAGAACGAAUGCUCUGGUAAUCCCCAGCCUACUAUCUUCAACACAUCCGCUUUUUCAACUCGCACAAUCUGCCAUGUGGUCUGUGGUUCUGCUUUUCACAAGACUUUUAUCAAAUCCUCAAUCAUUGGACAAUCACACAGUGCAAAAUCUUUAAGGCAGAGCCACAAUGGUAUUAUGAUGGAAAACUUGGGAAUAAGUUCUCUACAAGCCAGUGCAAGUAAAAUUUUCCUAAUGAAAGAGGAAGAAAUAAUGAAUUAGCAAUUCCAUGAAGAAAAGGAAGCUGCCUCAAUGGAAAAAGUCAUCUUCAUCUCCUCAGAUGUGAAGUUUGUCAACCUCAAGUUAGGUAUUUAUAAAACGUGAUUCUUGACUCUGCAUCAGAAUCUCCAUGGAGUCAGCUAAAAAUUCUUACGCUGAGCCUCAAUGCAGCCCUACCAAGUCAGUGUCCCUAACGUGGAGAGGGCCUGGGAAGUACCGCUCAACAAUCUCUCCAGAUGUACCUUGUGCACACUGAUAUGCAAGGUCAGGUGCUGGCUUACACUAGAAUGGCAAGGAGCACCAUUAAGAUACUUAAGUGAGGAGACAGAGUGCCCCAAGUGUCCAUUCUAACAAUGACUUGCUGUGUUUCAGAUGAGGGAGCUGGAAGAGGGAGAAGAGUGAGACAGAGAAACUUAAGAGUCAGGGAAGGGAGAUAGACUGUCUAUCUAGAACAGUGUUUUAUAUCAAGACCUAACACACCACAUAAUCAAACACAUGCACUUACCUGAAAUAAAAGUUUUGAAAUGACCUGA